GACGAACGCUGGCGGCGUGCUUAACACAUGCAAGUCGAACGGAAAGGCCCUGCUUUUGUGGGGUGCUCGAGUGGCGAACGGGUGAGUAACACGUGAGUAACCUGCCCUUGACUUUGGGAUAACUUCAGGAAACUGGGGCUAAUACCGGAUAGGAGCUCCUGCUGCAUGGUGGGGGUUGGAAAGUUUCGGCGGUUGGGGAUGGACUCGCGGCUUAUCAGCUUGUUGGUGGGGUAGUGGCUUACCAAGGCUUUGACGGGUAGCCGGCCUGAGAGGGUGACCGGCCCCAUUGGGAUUGGGAUACGGCCCAAACCCCCACGGGGGGCAAGGGGGGGGAAAUUUGCCCAAGGGGGGGAAGCCUGGUGGAGGAACCCCGGGGGGGGGAAGGCGGCCUUCGGGUUGUAAACCCCUUUCCCCUGGGACGAAGGGGGGGGGGAGGGAAUGGUGAAAGAACCCCCGGCUAACAUCGG
Molecule: ribosomal RNA, 467 nt
Filed under: uncultured bacterium
Lineage: Bacteria
Description: partial 16S ribosomal RNA
Rfam family: Bacterial small subunit ribosomal RNA
Source: RNAcentral